GACGAACCGUGCGAACGUUGUUCGGCCUCACUGGGCUUAAAGGGCGCGUAGGCGGCUUGCCAAGUCAGGGGUGAAAUCUUGCGGCUCAACCGUAAUAAGCCUUUGAUACUGGCAGGCUCGAGGGAGGUAGGGGCAUGUGGAACUUCUGGUGGAGCGGUGAAAUGCGUUGAUAUCAGAAGGAACGCCGGUGGCGAAAGCGCCGUGCUGGAUCUCUUCUGACGCUGAGGCGCGAAAGCUAGGGUAGCGAACGGG
RNAcentral lists this ribosomal RNA (252 nucleotides) under uncultured bacterium. RNAcentral's name for it is "partial 16S ribosomal RNA". It matches the Rfam family "Bacterial small subunit ribosomal RNA", at positions 524 to 776 of the family's 1533-position model. The record is from RNAcentral.